RNAcentral lists this ribosomal RNA (639 nucleotides) under uncultured bacterium. RNAcentral's name for it is "bacterial SSU rRNA". It matches the Rfam family "Bacterial small subunit ribosomal RNA", at positions 232 to 885 of the family's 1533-position model. The record is from RNAcentral.
CGCGGCCUAUCAGCUUGUUGGAGAGGUAACGGCUCACCAAGGCAUCGACGGGUAGCUGGUCUGAGAGGAUGAUCAGCCACACUGGGACUGAGACACGGCCCAGACUCCUACGGGAGGCAGCAGUAGGGAAUCUUGCACAAUGGGCGAAAGCCUGAUGCAGCAACGCCGCGUGCGGGAAGAAGGCCCUAGGGUUGUAAACCGCUUUCAGCAGGGAAGAAAAUGACGGUACCUGCAGAAGAAGGUGCGGCCAACUACGUGCCAGCAGCCGCGGUGACACGUAGGCACCAAGCGUUAUCCGGAUUUAUUGGGCGUAAAGAGCUCGUAGGCGGUUCGGUAAGUCGGGUGUGAAGACUCUGGGCUCAACCCAGAGAGGCCACCCGAUACUGCUGUGACUAGAGUGCGGUAGGGGAGCGGGGAAUUCAUGGUGUAGCGGUGAAAUGCGCAGAUAUCAUGAGGAACACCAGUGGCGAAGGCGCCGCUCUGGGCCGUAACUGACGCUGAGGAGCGAAAGCGUGGGUAGCAAACAGGAUUAGAUACCCUGGUAGUCCACGCCGUAAACGUUGGGCACUAGGUGUGGGGACCAUUCCACGGUUUCCGCGCCGCAGCUAACGCAUUAAGUGCCCCGCCUGGGGAGUACGG